Molecule: ribosomal RNA, 253 nt
Filed under: uncultured bacterium
Lineage: Bacteria
Description: partial 16S ribosomal RNA
Rfam family: Bacterial small subunit ribosomal RNA
Source: RNAcentral
UACAGAGGGUGCAAACGUUGUUCGGAAUUACUGGGCGUAAAGGGCUCGUAGGCGGCCAACUAAGUCGGAUGUGAAAUCCCCAGGCUUAACCUGGGAACUGCAUCCGAUACUGGAUGGCUUGAAUCCGGGAGAGGGAUGCAGAAUUCCAGGUGUAGCGGUGAAAUGCGUAGAUAUCUGGAGGAAUACCGGUGGCGAAGGCGGCAUCCUGGACCGGCAUUGACGCUGAUGAGCGAAAGCUAGGGGAGCAAACGGG